AGCUUCUUCUUGUUUUCUCUUUCCAUUUUUAGUAAUUUGUAAUUUUUCGCAGGAGUGUUUUGAGCAGAAUGAGCUCAACAGCCCCAUCACCAAAAUGCCCAAAAUUUGUUCCUGUGGAAGAGAGUACCAUCCAUUCAAUAAGUAAACCUGAUGGUAUCAGGUUUAGUCUUGUGUCGUAUAACAUUUUGGCUCAGGUAUAUGUAAAGAGUUCCUUGUUUCCACACUCUCCAUCCCCUUCUCUGAGGU
Non-coding RNA from Prunus avium (sweet cherry), 246 nucleotides. The record is from RefSeq and is a predicted model, not a curated record. NCBI's taxonomy places the organism in Eukaryota, Viridiplantae, Streptophyta, Magnoliopsida, Rosales, Rosaceae.